CAGGAGAAGAGGCUGGCCCUGUGGGUACAUGCGACCCUGGUAUGUACGCCACUGUGCUUACAGUGUGCAGCUUAGGUGUGUAUUCUUGCUACGACUGAGGUUUACUGGGGAAGCCUUUUAUAGGGUAAAGGGGAGGGACCUUUCUUAAUUACCUAUCUCUCAGAUGCUUGUCCCAAUUAUGAAGCACAACCCCCCUCCCCCCCAUACGUACUGCC
This is a non-coding RNA of Pelobates cultripes (western spadefoot toad), 215 nucleotides long. Lineage: Eukaryota; Metazoa; Chordata; Amphibia; Anura; Pelobatidae. The record is from the annotation of a GenBank genome assembly.